RNAcentral lists this ribosomal RNA (489 nucleotides) under Rhodotorula mucilaginosa. RNAcentral describes it as "eukaryotic LSU rRNA". It matches the Rfam family "Eukaryotic large subunit ribosomal RNA", at positions 99 to 584 of the family's 3401-position model. Lineage: Eukaryota; Fungi; Basidiomycota; Microbotryomycetes; Sporidiobolales; Sporidiobolaceae. The record is from RNAcentral.
CGGGAAGAGCUCAAAUUUAUAAUCUGGCACCUUCGGUGUCCGAGUUGUAAUCUCUAGAAAUGUUUUCCGCGUUGGACCGCACACAAGUCUGUUGGAAUACAGCGGCAUAGUGGUGAGACCCCCGUAUAUGGUGCGGACGCCCAGCGCUUUGUGAUACAUUUUCGAAGAGUCGAGUUGUUUGGGAAUGCAGCUCAAAUUGGGUGGUAAAUUCCAUCUAAAGCUAAAUAUUGGCGAGAGACCGAUAGCGAACAAGUACCGUGAGGGAAAGAUGAAAAGCACUUUGGAAAGAGAGUUAACAGUACGUGAAAUUGUUGGAAGGGAAACGCUUGAAGUCAGACUUGCUUGCCGAGCAAUCGGUUUGCAGGCCAGCAUCAGUUUUCCGGGAUGGAUAAUGGUAGAGAGAAGGUAGCAGUUUCGGCUGUGUUAUAGCUCUCUGCUGGAUACAUCUUGGGGGACUGAGGAACGCAGUGUGCCUUUGGCGGGGGUUUC